GAUGAAGAACGUAGCGAAAUGCGAUAAGUAAUGUGAAUUGCAGAAUUCAGUGAAUCAUCGAAUCUUUGAACGCACCUUGCGCCCUUUGGCUAUUCCGAAGGGCAUGCCUGUUUGAGUAUCAUGAACACCUCAACUCUUUAUGGUUUUCCAUGAAGGGCUUGGACUUUGGGGGUCUUGCUGGCCUUUAGUCAGCUCCUCUCAAACGAAUCAGCUUUCCAGUGUUUGGCAGCGUCACAGGUGUGAUAACUAUCUCUUGUGGUUUUCUGCCAGGUAAUCCUCAGUGAUGGGGAUUCGCUGGGGCUUAUAAAUGUCUCUCCUCAGCGAAGACAGCUUUGUGAACGUUUGAUCUCAAAUCAGGUAGGACUACCCGCUGAACUUAAGCAUAUCAAUAAGCGGAGGA
This 400-nucleotide unclassified non-coding RNA is filed under the name soil metagenome. RNAcentral's name for it is "partial contains 5.8S ribosomal RNA, internal transcribed spacer 2, and large subunit ribosomal RNA". The stretch from base 1 to 121 matches the Rfam family "5.8S ribosomal RNA", at positions 35 to 154 of the family's 154-position model. The record is from RNAcentral.